This 88-nucleotide non-coding RNA is filed under the name bovine gut metagenome. Its description in RNAcentral is "TPP riboswitch (THI element)". It matches the Rfam family "TPP riboswitch aptamer (THI element)", at positions 8 to 91 of the family's 105-position model. From Rfam's summary of the family: Vitamin B(1) in its active form thiamin pyrophosphate (TPP) is an essential coenzyme that is synthesised by coupling of pyrimidine and thiazole moieties in bacteria. The previously detected thiamin-regulatory element, thi box was extended, resulting in a new, highly conserved RNA secondary structure, the THI element, which is widely distributed in eubacteria and also occurs in some archaea. Analysis of operon structures identified a large number of new candidate thiamin-regulated genes, mostly transporters, in various prokaryotic organisms. The record is from RNAcentral.
AGUCAGGGGUGCUGUGAAAGGCUGAGACGGCAAAGACGCCGAACCCUUUAACCUGAUACGGAUAAUGCCGGCGUAGGAAGACGACAGA